UGGGGGUACGAUCGAGAGAGAGACCAGGGAGAAACCCUUCUCCUCAAAACCUAGCAAGAAAUCAUCAAAUUGAAGGGCAAUAGGGCUGAAAUCUUAUGCAUGAGUUAAGAACUAAGAUCACCUAAGUGUUCUUGACAUCAAAAAGUUGAAUGCGAAAUUGUAGGCGUGAAGGAGGAAGGUACAAGCCUAACCGGUUCGCAAGCAACGCAAAACAAAGGUGAAUCUCACUCUUGAUAAUGGCGAGCUUGGAUCGAACACACCACAUCGCCCUUUAUGCGCUUCCGGUUUAGUCGUCUUUGUAAAUGGGUCAAAACACUUUCAUAAUGUAAAUGUUAAGUUUAUGUCUAAGAUGUUUCGUAAGUAAAUUAGGAUUUUAAAUCUUAUUUUUGGUAGUUCGGACAAAAC
RNAcentral lists this long non-coding RNA (405 nucleotides) under Helianthus annuus (common sunflower). RNAcentral's name for it is "sRNA HanXRQr2_Chr04g0171621". Lineage: Eukaryota; Viridiplantae; Streptophyta; Magnoliopsida; Asterales; Asteraceae. The record is from RNAcentral.